CGCACCUUGCGCUCCUUGGUAUUCCGAGGAGCAUGCCUGUUUGAGUAUCAUGGAAUUCUCAAUCCUUCAAAUUUUGUAAUGAAGUUUGAAGGGCUUGGACUUGGAGGUUGUGUCGGCUCUUAGCUGAGUCGACUCCUCUCAAAUGUAUUAGCGUGAAUCUUUUACGGAUUCACUUCAGUGAUGAUAAUUAUCUGCGCUGUAGUGUUGAAGUAUUUUUAUUUAGUUCGUGCUUACAAUCGUCUCUUCACGAGACAAUUUCUUGACAAUCUGAUCUCAAAUCAGGUAGGACUACCCGCUGAACUUAA
Molecule: unclassified non-coding RNA, 305 nt
Filed under: Efibula clarkii
Lineage: Eukaryota; Fungi; Basidiomycota; Agaricomycetes; Polyporales; Irpicaceae
Description: partial contains 5.8S ribosomal RNA, internal transcribed spacer 2, and large subunit ribosomal RNA
Source: RNAcentral